RNAcentral lists this ribosomal RNA (1546 nucleotides) under Escherichia coli. Its description in RNAcentral is "partial 23S ribosomal RNA". It matches the Rfam family "Bacterial large subunit ribosomal RNA", at positions 1292 to 2821 of the family's 2925-position model. The record is from RNAcentral. Lineage: Bacteria; Pseudomonadati; Pseudomonadota; Gammaproteobacteria; Enterobacterales; Enterobacteriaceae.
GAAUGCUGACAUAAGUAACGAUAAAGCGGGUGAAAAGCCCGCUCGCCGGAAGACCAAGGGUUCCUGUCCAACGUUAAUCGGGGCAGGGUGAGUCGACCCCUAAGGCGAGGCCGAAAGGCGUAGUCGAUGGGAAACAGGUUAAUAUUCCUGUACUUGGUGUUACUGCGAAGGGGGGACGGAGAAGGCUAUGUUGGCCGGGCGACGGUUGUCCCGGUUUAAGCGUGUAGGCUGGUUUUCCAGGCAAAUCCGGAAAAUCAAGGCUGAGGCGUGAUGACGAGGCACUACGGUGCUGAAGCAACAAAUGCCCUGCUUCCAGGAAAAGCCUCUAAGCAUCAGGUAACAUCAAAUCGUACCCCAAACCGACACAGGUGGUCAGGUAGAGAAUACCAAGGCGCUUGAGAGAACUCGGGUGAAGGAACUAGGCAAAAUGGUGCCGUAACUUCGGGAGAAGGCACGCUGAUAUGUAGGUGAAGCGACUUGCUCGUGGAGCUGAAAUCAGUCGAAGAUACCAGCUGGCUGCAACUGUUUAUUAAAAACACAGCACUGUGCAAACACGAAAGUGGACGUAUACGGUGUGACGCCUGCCCGGUGCCGGAAGGUUAAUUGAUGGGGUUAGCGGUAACGCGAAGCUCUUGAUCGAAGCCCCGGUAAACGGCGGCCGUAACUAUAACGGUCCUAAGGUAGCGAAAUUCCUUGUCGGGUAAGUUCCGACCUGCACGAAUGGCGUAAUGAUGGCCAGGCUGUCUCCACCCGAGACUCAGUGAAAUUGAACUCGCUGUGAAGAUGCAGUGUACCCGCGGCAAGACGGAAAGACCCCGUGAACCUUUACUAUAGCUUGACACUGAACAUUGAGCCUUGAUGUGUAGGAUAGGUGGGAGGCUUUGAAGUGUGGACGCCAGUCUGCAUGGAGCCGACCUUGAAAUACCACCCUUUAAUGUUUGAUGUUCUAACGUUGGCCCCUGAUCGGGGUUGCGGACAGUGUCUGGUGGGUAGUUUGACUGGGGCGGUCUCCUCCUAAAGAGUAACGGAGGAGCACGAAGGUUGGCUAAUCCUGGUCGGACAUCAGGAGGUUAGUGCAAUGGCAUAAGCCAGCUUGACUGCGAGCGUGACGGCGCGAGCAGGUGCGAAAGCAGGUCAUAGUGAUCCGGUGGUUCUGAAUGGAAGGGCCAUCGCUCAACGGAUAAAAGGUACUCCGGGGAUAACAGGCUGAUACCGCCCAAGAGUUCAUAUCGACGGCGGUGUUUGGCACCUCGAUGUCGGCUCAUCACAUCCUGGGGCUGAAGUAGGUCCCAAGGGUAUGGCUGUUCGCCAUUUAAAGUGGUACGCGAGCUGGGUUUAGAACGUCGUGAGACAGUUCGGUCCCUAUCUGCCGUGGGCGCUGGAGAACUGAGGGGGGCUGCUCCUAGUACGAGAGGACCGGAGUGGACGCAUCACUGGUGUUCGGGUUGUCAUGCCAAUGGCACUGCCCGGUAGCUAAAUGCGGAAGAGAUAAGUGCUGAAAGCAUCUAAGCACGAAACUUGCCCCGAGAUGAGUUCUCCCUGACUC